RNAcentral lists this unclassified non-coding RNA (2242 nucleotides) under Anneissia japonica. RNAcentral's name for it is "nuclear factor of activated T-cells 5-like, transcript variant X3". Lineage: Eukaryota; Metazoa; Echinodermata; Crinoidea; Comatulida; Comatulidae. The record is from RNAcentral.
UGUUCGGCACAUUCAUCGAUAGAUCGUCGAGUGAUUAAGUACGUGUAAUUGAGAGAGCUACAGAACAGUUUUAUCGCAUUUUCAGGUCAACAUUUGUUUCCAAUAUGGACGCUUCAUUACUAGAUGUGUCGAAUACUUGUUUGAGUUAUCUUGAUUCACCUGAAAGCUUGUAUUCAAGUCAAGAUGGUAGUGAGAAAGUUGAGGAAAACCGAUUUUUCCCUCAAGACAGCCCAGCAAAUAAUUAUCCAGCAUUAGAUACUGUGAUGGGGGAAUCUAUUAUGUUAUCUAAUUUCCAAGACAACAUUUCACUUGAUGCCUUUUCCAACUCGCCUGGCACACCAAUGAGUACAUCGACUGAUUCCACAGACAUGUCCCUACCAAACAGUCCGUCUUUGGAUUUGCUUGACGAUGACACAGUGCAGUCAAUUGUAUCAAUGUUUGCCAAUGAGGAAGCAACAAGUCCCGUGUCUGUCGGUAACAAACGCCCAUUUGAAGUCUUUGAGAAGUCCUCAAAUACAUCAUCAAAAAAGAUUUGCCUGCAUUCGACUUCAAGCAAUCCUCCAACUCAAAAGAAAUUUGAUUUCACAACAAAAACUACAGACUUCAAGGAGGAAUCAAAGGCAUCUAUUGUAGCCAGCUUAGCAGCAAAGGUAUCUGGAAGUGACAAUUUGAAGCAACGGACAAGUUUAUUGUUACCACCCAGGUUGAAGCAAAAGAAGUUGCCAAACUUGAACUUUUGCCCACCAAGCAAGCAGGACAAUAUUGAGUUGAGUAUAAUUUCUCAGCCAGAGAAGCAGCACAGAGCAAGGUACCUAACAGAAGGUAGCAGAGGUUGUGUCAAAGAUGAAAGCCAGCUUGAUUUCCCAGCUGUAAAGCUGACAGGCUGGUUAGAGCCAGUCACUCUGCAAGUGUUUGUGGGAACAGAUCAACAAAAAGUAAAACCACAUGGAUAUUACCAAGCUUGUAAAGUGUAUGGCAGGACUACAACUCCAUGCAAUGAGGAAGAUGUUGAUGGUACAACAGUAAUUGAAAUUGCUUGGGAACCCAAUAAUGACAAGAUGGAGAUGUUUAUUGAUUGUGUUGGUAUUCUGAAGUUGAGAAACGCAGAUGUUGAAAAGAGAAUAGGUCUUGCAAGGUGCAAGAGGAAAAGCACAAAUGUGAGAUUGGUGUUCCGUGUCAACAUUCCUCAACCGGAUGGAAGCAUCCUGACCCUUCAAACUGCAUCCAGAUCCAUCUCAUGCACUCAGCCACAGGGGCAUCCUGAAAUCUCUAAGAGGAGUUGCAGCUCUUGCUCUGUAAAGGGUGGUGAGGAUCUUUUCAUCAUCGGUAAAAAUUUCCUUAACAAGGUAACGGAGGUAAAAAUUCAGGAAAGACAUCCUAAUGGAACACUGAUAUGGGAAGCAGACUGUGAGGUUGACAAGUCCUUAUUUCAUGGAACUCAUAUCGUGUGCACCAUUCCACCAUAUAAAGAUCAAGAGGUUGAAAAUGAUGUUGAGACAGUAAUGAUGGUAACUACUGGGCCUGGUAAAUGCAGUGAGCUGCAUCCUUUUACUUACACCCCUCGUCCAGAAAGUGAACGGAAGCCACAAACAUUCACUUCAUCUCUGACACAGUCACUGAGUAGUUCAUUAGUGUACGAUAACGAACAAGUACUGAAGAAUAUUUCGGUGAACAGUUCAGUGAACGACCUUACGAGUCUAGUGACUGACAAACUACAGAUGCCCAUCAAUCAACCUGGAUCUCUCACCACAAGCUUAUCGACACCGUCAACGAUUCAGACACCGUUCGAAUUGUCAUUAUUCAUUGCUUCCCAGCAAUAUGUGGACCAACCCAGCCUGACGACCCAGUUACAGAUGAAUGAAGGUAGAUAUAAUUUGUUACUUUGUAAAGGAUAGCUCUGACAUAUGCAGAUGUUGUGUAAAAUUUGAAAGGCCUCUACAUGGUUAUCUAUAAUUAAUGGCUUGACAGCAUUACUCAGAAAUAGAUACCAUGUUCAAGCCUUUUAUGUUUCAACAACUGAAUGUGACUGGGAACCCAUGGCUAUUCCAUUUACCUCUCACGGCGACAUUAUUCUAAAUGCAAUUUCAAACUAAUUGUAGGCUUUAACGGGUACCAACCACAAGUAAAUGAAGGUGAGAAUGAAAGGUUGCCUGAAGGCAUGACAGAUGUAACAAGAAUUGAUGGCAAGAUUGAAACGUUGCCUGAUGGCUUGACAGAUGUAACAAGAUAUCUGGAGAAUAAA